RNA transcript from Ailuropoda melanoleuca (giant panda), 2516 nucleotides. It is a transcript of the gene named ankyrin repeat domain 33, with no coding region annotated. NCBI's taxonomy places the organism in Eukaryota, Metazoa, Chordata, Mammalia, Carnivora, Ursidae. The transcript has 5 exons. The record is from RefSeq and is a predicted model, not a curated record.
GAGGAAGAGCCGCGGUUGCACAGGGAGGGCUGGACAUGUCUGAGGCAUCGUCCUGCCCCGCCAGCCAGGAGACCCCUGCCCCAGGCUGUAGGCUGGGGCCCUUGUACUGGGCCUGUGUCCGCAAUGACCCUGUCCAGCUCCAAGCCACGUUGGAUGGUGGGGUCUCCCCCGAAGAGGCCAUCCAGGUGGAUGGCAACGGGAGGACAGGUCUCAUGGUCGCGUGCUACCGCGGCUUUGAGAAUGUCGUGGCCCUGCUCAGCCGCUGCCCUUUCCUCGAUGUGAACCAGCAGGAUAAAGAAGGGGACACAGCCCUCAUGCUGGCUGCCCAAGCGGGCCACGUGCCUCUGGUGAGUCUCCUGCUCAACUACUACCCGGGCCUGGACCUGGAGCGCCGAGACCAGCGGGGGCUAACAGCACUGAUGAAGGCCGCCGUGCGGGACCGUUCGGAAUGCGUGGCUGCCCUCCUCAUGGCAGGUGCUGACCUGACCUCGGUGGAUCCUAUUCGGGGCAAGACGGCCCUAGAGUGGGCUCUGCUGACCGACAGCUUUGACACCGUGCAAAGGAUCCGGAAGCUGCUGCAGCGCCCCCGGAUAGAGCAGCUGAGCCAGCAUUACCAGCCCCAGUGGCCAGCCUUGCCUGGGCUCGUGGCUCAGGCCCAGGUCCAGGCCACCCCAUCUCUCCUAGAGAGACUACAGGCCACCUUGAGCCUCCCCUUUGCCCCGUCUCCUCAGGAGGGGGGUGUCCUGGACNGCCUAGCCAGUCCCUUCCUCGCCACGGCCUGCCACUCCCUGUGCCCGGACCGGCCGCCGGCACUGGGCACCCGAAGCAAGUCCGUGCCAGAGCUGCUAGGUACUGCCCCGCCCCCUCCCCCAGUACCCCAGCCCCCCCAGGUAGUCCCUGGCUCCCGGGUCCUCAUCCCCUACCAGAGCCAUCAGGGUGUGCUGAGUAUGUGCCCUCAGUGGCUACAGCCCAGGGACAGUAGCAGCCCCAGGCCCCAAGCCCCCAAGAUCCGCCUCUCCAAGGCACCCUCAUCUCCCAGACGGUACAGGCUAGAGCCCAGGCCUCAAGAGAAUCGAAGCCUGGCCCUUCCUGUCUGGAGAUACCAGGAGCUCAGGAUGGAGAGGAGGAGGCAGGAAGAGGGGGCUAGGUGGGCACAGAAUUAAUGAGGGGAAGAUGGGUGAGGCCAGGCUGGGAGCAGGUGAUCAGGUCCUUCCCUAAGGCUCCUUCGCCCUCUAGAGCCUUCUGCUUUCCCGUCCAUCUCUGUACAAAUAAUUCUACUCUAACCUCCUUAGGACGUUACUCACACGGCAUCGUUUGAGGUCGUAAGAGUGAAAACAGCCUAAGUGUUGAUCAGCUUAGCUAGGCGACUAGCUAAGUUGAUUAUGGGUGUGAUUACCGUACAUCUGUAUGAUAUAUUCUAUACAGUGGUGAAACAAGAUUAAGGACGGUCUUUAUGUUCUGAUGGGAAACUAUCUUCAAGAUAUAUUAAGCGUAAAAAAUUAAGGGAUGGAACAGCGCGUAUGGGAUGCUACUAUUUGUCAAAGUAAAAUUUGCACCAAGAUAAACUUGACUGAUACAAACAUAUAGUGAAUGCCUGCAUGUAUGUAACUACUGAGCGAAUGAAGGGUCGAAGGACGGAAAGGAAAAAACCAUGACUGACAGUGGAGAGAAGAAUGCUUGAAUAAGAUUGGAAAGCCUUUCAGGCUUCCAGAGAGGAAAGAAGCAGACGUGGGCUGCUCUGCCUGUGCCACCCAAAGUCAACUUCUCCACCAACAUCCCAGCUUCUUCCCACGGCAGCCAGCGCCUAGAGCUUCCACAUAGAGUUCCUGUCAGCAAAGGCCAGGGAACUCAGGACCAGGUCCCCGGCUGUGCAGAUCACGCCAAAACGAAAGCGGCCUGCUCAGGCCAACACCUGGGUUUGCAUCCUGGCCCUGCCUCUCACCAUCUCUGUGAUCAGGGACCGCUGCCAGCCUCCAUGUCCUCAUUCGUAACACCCCGUGAUGAUAGUAUAUAAUCUCUACUUCCCGGGGUUGUCCCGGGGCACUGAGUGGGGCCCGGCCAACGGUCCGCACCCCGUCAACAACAGCUUUCGUUACUGGGCUGAUCUGCGAGGGGUGUGGCCCAGGCAGUGGCUCUGUGAAGGACGCCUGUGGACACAUCCUGGGAACCCCAUGGCAUCCCCCGUGAUUCCUGGAUUCUACUCUGGUGGGCCCCGAAGUGGAAACACGAGUUUAUACCAGACAGCCUUCUCAGAGCAGCUCCCGCAAGCUGUGUGUCCCCCAGCCCAGCAUGCCCCCGGCCCGCUGCCCAUCCCCACAGCACUGAUGGCAGGCCAACCUGCUUCCCACAUGUGCGUGUCCACCGUCGCCCAGCCCGACGGGGGCUCCUACAGAAGGGGCUGAAAAGUUGGCUUUCCAGACACACUGGGAUGUCAGCCGGGCUUGUGAGGACUCCUGGGACAGCCUCCCCUCCCUCCUGCAUGGGCAGAACCUGGGUCUGUCUCCCUAGUCCCUGGC